Molecule: ribosomal RNA, 1513 nt
Filed under: uncultured bacterium
Lineage: Bacteria
Description: bacterial SSU rRNA
Rfam family: Bacterial small subunit ribosomal RNA
Source: RNAcentral
AACGAACGCUGGCGGCGCGUUUUAAGCAUGCAAGUCUGAGGGGGUUGCUGUAGUAAUACAGUGAUUAACUGGCGCACGGGUGAGUAACACGUGAGAAUCUACCUUGAGAUGGGGGAUAGCUCGUGGAAACACGGGGUAAUACCGCAUAUGUGCAGCACCACUUUUACUUUUAAGUAGUAAAUAAAAAAUACUGAUUUAAGGGUAAAAGCGGUGUUGCAUGAAAGCUACUUUUGUAGCGUCACAAGAUGAGCUUGCGGUCCAUUAGCUAGUUGGCAGGGUAAGAGCCUACCAAGGCGACGAUGGAUAGCCGGCCUGAGAGGGUGUACGGCCACAUUGGAACUGAGACACGGUCCAGACUUCUACGGGAGGCAGCAGCUAAGAAUAUUCCGCAAUGGGAGAUAUCCUGACGGAGCGACGCCGCGUGGACGAAGAAGGCAGAAAUGUUGUAAAGUCCUUUUAUACGGGAAGAAUAAGAUUAUUGAGAGAAACGGUAAUUGAUGACGGUACCGUAUGAAUAAGCCACGGCUAACUACGUGCCAGCAGCCGCGGUAAUACGUAGGUGGCAAGCGUUGUUCGGAUUUAUUGGGCGUAAAGGGCAUGUAGGUGGUUGGAUAAGUGUGAAUUGAAAGACCGGAGCUUAACUCCGAGUUUGGUUUGCAAACUAUCCGACUAGAGUGCAGAAGGGGAAACUGGAAUUCCGCGUGUAGGGGUGAAAUCUGUAGAUAUGCGGAAGAAUACCUGUGGCGAAGGCGAGUUUCUGGUCUGUAACUGACGCUGAAAUGCGAAAGUGUGGGGAGCAAACAGGAUUAGAUACCCUGGUAGUCCACACUGUAAACGUUGUACACUAGGUGUCAUGGGUAUCGACCCCCGUGGUGCCGUAGCUAACGCGUUAAGUGUACCGCCUGGGGAGUAUGCUCGCAAGGGUGAAACUCAAAGGAAUUGACGGGGGCCCGCACAAGCGGUGGAGCAUGUGGUUUAAUUCGAUGGUACGCGAAAAACCUUACCAGGGUUUGACAUAGAUAUGACUGAUACAGAGAUGUGUCGUUCACUUCGGUGACAUAUUUACAGGUGCUGCAUGGCUGUCGUCAGCUCGUGUUGUGAGAUGUUGGGUUAAGUCCCGCAACGAGCGCAACCCCUACUGUUAGUUGCCAUCUGGUUAUGCAGGGCACUCUAACGGAACCGCCGGUGACAGAUCGGAGGAAGGUGGGGAUGACGUCAAGUCCUCAUGGCCCUUAUAUCCUGGGCUACACACGUGCUACAAUGGGCUGUACAGAGGGUAGCAAUCCCGCGAGGGGGAGCCAAUCCCAAAAAGCAGUCCGUAGUUCAGAUUGGAGUCUGCAACUCGACUCCAUGAAGUCGGAAUCGCUAGUAAUCACAGAUCAGCACGCUGUGGUGAAUACGUUCCCGGGCCUUGUACACACCGCCCGUCACACCACCCGAGUUGAGGACACCCGAAGUUAUUACCCUAACCGCAAGGAGGGGGGUACCUAAGGUGUGCUUAGUGAGGGGGGUG